AAGGCCGACAACAAAGGAAGAAGAUUGAAGCUCUCUAUUUUUCCUUCUUAUGAAUGAUAUGUUCUCAUUUGCUUUAACAACUCAAGAGAUUUGAUGAGGAGUAAAGAUGGAAAAAUUGAGCUAAAAAAGAAAAUUGAAGGCAUUUAAGAAGGAAAGAAUAAAUCCUGACAGAUUUGCUGAUCCGACUAAGCGUGCCCACGCUCAAUGCCCUGGUCAAUGCCGAAGAACAAAGAAAAGAUACGAUUUGCGAGGAAGAAAAAGAAAUGAUUGUCGUAUGAUUUUGGAAAGAAUCUUUUGGAUAUUUGGCUGAUGUAAAAAAGUGAUUUAUUAACUUUUUAGAAUCGAUUUUGUACUUAAUCACCCCCUAUGUCUAGAUUCAUAGAAUGUUUUAAGUAUAAAUAGGAGAACCUCUCAAUUCCAUGGCUAUUGAUGAUUUUAUCUUCAUA
This is a non-coding RNA of Sesamum indicum (sesame), 446 nucleotides long. The record is from RefSeq and is a predicted model, not a curated record. NCBI's taxonomy places the organism in Eukaryota, Viridiplantae, Streptophyta, Magnoliopsida, Lamiales, Pedaliaceae.